RNAcentral lists this ribosomal RNA (417 nucleotides) under uncultured bacterium. RNAcentral's name for it is "bacterial SSU rRNA". It matches the Rfam family "Bacterial small subunit ribosomal RNA", at positions 917 to 1338 of the family's 1533-position model. The record is from RNAcentral.
GGGCCCGCACAAGCGGUGGAGCAUGUGGUUUAAUUCGAUGAUACGCGAGGAACCUUACCAGGGCUUAAAUGCAGAGCGACAGAGGUGGAAACACCUCCUUCUUCGGACGGUCUGCAAGGUGCUGCAUGGUUGUCGUCAGCUCGUGCUGUGAAGUGUCGGGUUAAGUCCCAUAACGAGCGCAACCCCUAUUUCUAGUUGCCAGCGGUUCGGCCGGGGACUCUAGAGAAACUGCCAGCGUAAGCUGUGAGGAAGGUGGGGAUGACGUCAAAUCAUCACGGCCCUUACGUCCUGGGCCACACACGUGCUACAAUGGUAAGGACAGAGAGUUGCCAACCCGCGAGGGUGAGCUAAUCUUUAAACCUUAUCUCAGUUCGGAUCGAAGUCUGCAACUCGACUUCGUGAAGUUGGAAUCGCUAG